CAGACGGGAUAUAACCGCGUUGUUGUAUCUUGAUGAUAAGAUAUAAAAAUGAGAUAAAGUCCGGGCUCCUUCGGAAAAAAUGCCGGGUAACCACCGGGCAUAAUCUGGUAGUUGCAUAAUUUCUUGCAUAACCCGGAUUGUGACAGAUAGUGCAACAGAAAUUGUACCGCCUGAAAAGGUAAGGGUGAAAAGGCAGUGUAAGAGACUACCGCGUAAAUGGUAACAUUUACGGCUUGAAAACCUCAUUUGGAGCAAGAUUAAGCAGCAGUUAUGUUAUUCCGAGCAAUACUGUGGGUAAAUCGCUAGAGUCAGCUGGCAACAGUUGAUGCGGAUAGAUGGUUAUUGUGAAUACCUUUCGGUGUUCAUAGACAGAACCCGGCUUACAAUCCCGUCUGUUUU
This 399-nucleotide RNase P RNA is filed under the name Treponema sp. Marseille-Q3903. RNAcentral's name for it is "Bacterial RNase P class A". It matches the Rfam family "Bacterial RNase P class A". From Rfam's summary of the family: Ribonuclease P (RNase P) is a ubiquitous endoribonuclease, found in archaea, bacteria and eukarya as well as chloroplasts and mitochondria. Its best characterised activity is the generation of mature 5'-ends of tRNAs by cleaving the 5'-leader elements of precursor-tRNAs. Cellular RNase Ps are ribonucleoproteins. The record is from Rfam by way of RNAcentral. Lineage: Bacteria; Pseudomonadati; Spirochaetota; Spirochaetia; Treponematales; Treponemataceae.